GAUGAACGCUAGCUACAGGCUUAACACAUGCAAGUCGAGGGACCGGCGCACGGGUGAGUAACACGUAUCCAACCUGCCCUUUACUCGGGGAUAGCCUUUCGAAAGAAAGAUUAAUACCCGAUAUAAAGGAUGGGGAUGCGUUCCAUUAGGUUGUUGGUGAGGUAACGGCUCACCAAGCCUUCGAUGGAUAGGGGUUCUGAGAGGAAGGUCCCCGACAUUGGAAAUGGGCCCCGGACUAAACUCCUACGGAGGGGAGGGGUGAGGAAUAUUAGUCAAUGGGCGCUAGCCUGGACCUGCCGAGUAGCGUGAAGGGGGAAGGGUUAUGGGUCGUGAACUGCUUUUAUAUAAGAAUAUGUAUUAUAUGAAUAAGGAUCGGCUAACUCCGUGCCAGCAGCCGCGGUAAUAC
RNAcentral lists this ribosomal RNA (406 nucleotides) under uncultured bacterium. RNAcentral's name for it is "partial 16S ribosomal RNA". It matches the Rfam family "Bacterial small subunit ribosomal RNA", at positions 28 to 526 of the family's 1533-position model. The record is from RNAcentral.